Molecule: long non-coding RNA, 3120 nt
Filed under: Vitis vinifera (wine grape)
Lineage: Eukaryota; Viridiplantae; Streptophyta; Magnoliopsida; Vitales; Vitaceae
Description: long non-coding RNA (VVIN_LNC006031)
Source: RNAcentral
AGCUUAUCAUUUAUGUGGAAGGGGCCAUGUUGGAUAGACCAAUAGGUGUAGUUGAAGCCGUAGUGCCAGUGGUCAGACCCUCCAACUACUAUGGUGUCAGCCUCACUAACUGCCACCAUACAUGCAGUUAGAAGAAGGAUGAGUCCGGGUGCGGCAAAGCUGGUACCCAUCUUCAUUUUCUUUGCUGGAAUGAGCCUGAUUAGCAACUCAAGCAGAAUGAGAUGGUGGGAGAUGGAAGUGUAACCUUAUGGGCCGGGUCUACAUAUAGGGUCUUUGGUCACACUGUUCGAUGCCUUAUUUUCUACCUUGGUGGCAGAAGGUGGACGAGAAAAAGUUGUAAAGCUUAUGGGUCAAUUCUGUAUUUGCAUGAUUAUGCUCAAUACCAAGGUUUAAUUUAUAAUUAUUUAAGUAGUUCUUUUUCCUCAAAUAUACACCUCUUCUAGAUGCCGCAUAUCAGUGGUGGCAGAGGCCUGUAUAAGAUAGCCAGUGGAAAAGAGAGGGUAUCAACUUUAGUGGUACAAAUUUCUUUGGCAGAUGGAUUGGAAAGUAUUAAAGUAUUCGUACAUAUAAAUCCCAAUAUCUACAUCAAUCCAAUCAAAACAUUUGAUGGGGUAUGAUUCUUAAAUUCAGAGGCACAACCAUCCAAGGAAAGUAACACUGAAAUAACCUACCAAAAGCGCAGUAAGUUCAAAUGGGCACAGUUUCGCUUAUGUAUGAUGUUCAAUUCUACUUAUGACUUCUAGAUUGUUGCAUUACUAAAAUUUAUACUUGGGUGUGUUCCCAACAUUUUUCCAAAUCAUGAGACGACUCCACUUUGAAGGUGGCUUGCGGUUUCGAAGAAUAGUUUGCAGACUUUUAAACCAUGGCUCCCCGAAUCAUGGCCGCUUUAUUUGACGAAACUUGAGUGCUAAUUGGAACUAACCAAUGACAAUGAGAUUUAGUGUAUAGCUAGCUUCUAGAUAGCAAUGGUGGCACCUCCAUCUACAUGAUUCCGCCACACACCACUUAUUAUUUAUAGUCGGGGUACCUGUGUAUAUGACGUUGCUAGGAAAGUUUGGCAAAUUUUGGGUUGGAAAGAAAGCCAUUCGUCGUAGAAAGUCUCCAUUUUCCUAGUGGCUCCAUUUUUGAGAUGGAUUACCUUUCACAAUUACGGAAGGCAAAUGGAUAGAUAUCUUCAAGCUCCACAACUCUCCAAACUGGGGUGUGCAUGUCCUUCGGCCUUGCGCUUUCAAGUCUUAAGUCUUUAAGUGCAUUGAAAUCAACAACUUUUUGAGAUACUUAACUUGUCCACAUGCCUACUUGAUCAUGACUUUUUGGAUCCCUUAUCCACCCUUUAUUUUUAAUCAUUUUUAAUAUUUAUAUAACUAUUUUCUAAAAUAAUUAUAAAAAAAUUAAAAAACAUUCUUUAGAAUCUCCAUAUUUCUUAUAUUUAAAAACAAAAAACCGUUUCAUAUUUUUUCAUUAUUAAACUUUUUUUUUUCUAUUUUUUAUUUUAAAGAAUAAAAAUUAUUUUUCAAAACGACUCUAAACAGGAUCUAUAUUUGUUUUCAUUUUUCUUUUUUUCUGACUAAUUUAUUAUUUGUUAAUGUCAGGACACAAGCAAUAAUAAAAUUAAUGAACAGAAAAUAUUAUAAUUUUUAUUUCUUUGUAUGGUAUUUCCUUUCCAAGGUAGGUAAAGUCAGGACAGUUGACCCGGAUGUCCACAGAGUUCAAACUUCCGCCAAAGGGUAGAAUCAAUGGGCAUAGCAUGGACCCAAGAGUUGACGUCAUUCACUUGAGUGUAUACACAUGCUACUUGAAAAAUAUGCUGUGGAAACUUGGCUGGGAUUAAAAAAUCCUUGGGUAUACAGCAAUGAAGACAAUACUUGUCAAAAAGUGGUACACGACUCUUGCAUAAUUUGGUCUUCCUUUUAUUUUUCACUUAUGUCUUAUUUAGUUAUAUGAUACUCUAAUAUUUUUCUUAUACUUUUGUUUCAUUUAUUUGCGAUAUCAAAUCUAAAUUAUAUAUUUUUAACGGUUGAGAUCACUCAGACAUUUUUUUAAAAAAAAUUGUAUUUAAUCAAACAAAAAUACUAAUUGAUUGGUCUUAAGCAAAUGAUUAUUCUUCACACACUCAAAAUUUUUUAAAUUAAGUUAUUUUUUGUCCCUUUAUUUCAUACCACUUGAGCAGAAUACGAGUGUUUGAUAAAUUAAUUUAUAUCAAUCUUAUUUAUUUAUUUAUUUUUAUAAUAUAAUUUUAAAUUUAAAGAAGAAUAAAUUAAUUAUUUUGAUUUAAUAUUUAAAGUCAUUUUUAACUUUAAUAUGCAUCAUUAAGUUAUUUUAAUGAUUAUAUUUAAUCUAUUUAAUAAUUUAACUUAAAUUAUUAAAUCACUUAUUAAAUUAAUUUAUCAAAGUACUAGGCCAUCACAAGCAGAAGAGAAAAAUCUCUGAUAUUUAUGAUAAAUUGGAUCCACAUCCCAAAUGAUUCCAUUAUUCUCAAUAAUUAACCAAGCAAAAGUUGUAGACACGUACAAACGAAAACGGGAAGCAUGCGGCCAACUGUGCCAUCCCUAGGUUGAAAUCUAUCAUCAUUUUCCCCAGCGAGGCAGAGGCACAGCAAAGAAUUUCAUCCGCCCAUCUCCGCAUUGGGAGCCAUCUUCCUCUCCUGAAGCAAAAUAGUGAGGCCUCCAGUUUGUGAGCUCAAACACAAACCCCUUCCCACCACCUUGCUGCGGAUUAGCCAACAGCUUCGCUUGACUGAAGUCGCAAGUUACAAAGCUCCAAAGGUUUGGUAGCAAGUAUACGCUAUGCCGUGGGUAGUUCUUGCUUGGUGGAUUGUACUUGAACACUGUAAAUAAUUAGUAAAAACAUAAAACCCAGGAUUAGCAAUAAAUAAUAAUUUUCGGAGUAUUCAUAUAGAAAGUAUAUAGUUCUGACCUAGCUUAUCAUUUAUGAAGAAAGGGCCAUGUUGGAUAGACCAAUAGGUAUAGUUGAAGCCGUAGUGCCAGUGUUCAGACCCUCCAACCACUAUUGUGUCAGCCUCACUAACUGCCACCAUGCAUGCAGUUAGAAGAAGGAUGAAUCCAGGUGCGGCAAAGCUGGUACCCAUCUUCAUUUUCUUUGCUGGAAUGAGCCUGAUUA